Non-coding RNA from Pelobates cultripes (western spadefoot toad), 246 nucleotides. The record is from the annotation of a GenBank genome assembly. NCBI's taxonomy places the organism in Eukaryota, Metazoa, Chordata, Amphibia, Anura, Pelobatidae.
CUUUGUGUGUAUUUUUAACCAUUUUUCAAAUUAAAGUGUAACUAAAUUAUCUUCUAUCUACGGGUGAUUUUUUAAUUGGUGUUAAUUCUAGUGAAGUUUGGUUCCCCCACUUCUAUGUGGGUGGUCCCAUCUUUUUAUAGUUUAUAAUGUUACAUAGGGUUAUGCCCUUCUUACCUACCUAAACCCCUUCCAAGCAAAGCAGUAAGUUUUAGAACUUACAUCUGAGGCUAAUUUUUUAAUUUUCAG